Molecule: long non-coding RNA, 901 nt
Filed under: Homo sapiens (human)
Lineage: Eukaryota; Metazoa; Chordata; Mammalia; Primates; Hominidae
Description: non-protein coding lnc-ZNF236-11:3
Source: RNAcentral
CAGCAAAUGGCCAUUGAACACUUCAAAAUGCGGUUAUCAGUGGAUGCCUCACCUUAGAAAAGUCCCGUAAAACUGAGGAAGAUUGUGGGAGGUAUCCUUGGGGGUCAUCUAGACCAGCACUCCAGCCUGCCCCAAAUCUACAGAUCAAAAAAGCAAAGUCCAGAGAAGUAACGUCUCAAGGUCACAUAAGUCAGUCCCUAUCAACAACAGCACUAAAAUCAAGGCUUCCUAAAACCAGUCGGAUCAUUGUUCCAUUAUAGCAUAUGGCUUUUCUUCUGGAAAAAUGUCCAACUGUAGCAGACAGAAAGGAAGCCAAGAGAGGGUGUUUACAGCAAGGAGGGGCUAUGAAAUAUCUUCACUCCAGGUUCUUUAUGAGCUGCAGUGUAUCAUUUUUAUCAGCAAUUGGAAGCAUGCUGCAUGUUUGACUCUGUGGACUCCUGCUUUACACAACAGAACAUUCCGAUGGUGUGCAUGUGCCAUACCCUGCCGUAACAAAUCUCAGCUGGUCCUCUGCUGUCCUCUGGGGAGAAUGCAUUUGAACUCAUCUCAAAAAGCUGGUUUUCUACCCUGGAGGUCUCCGAUGGCUACUGCGAGAAGAAAGCCAUGUCCCGAAAGCAGUGAUACAGAUUGGCAGCCACUGCAGAGAUGCAGAAUGUCGAAGAGUGUGUGUGUUGGAAUUCCUGGACAGACACUGCUCUGAAAGAAAAACCCUCUGGUUUUGGAAGUCUGGCUGGGCAAGGCAGGCGGAGGUCAUGGAGGGGCCGGCGUGAUGGAAUCCUCGGUGCAGCUGACUGCGCAGCCCGACACUGGCGUGGACACUGGGACGCGUCAUGCAACAUCCAACCAGAGCACACUCACGAGGACAAACAUGGGCCCACCUAUUUACCAUCAGAAAAACAAA